This is a small nuclear RNA of Trachemys scripta elegans, 174 nucleotides long. RefSeq annotates it as U2 spliceosomal RNA. The transcript has a single exon. Lineage: Eukaryota; Metazoa; Chordata; Testudines; Emydidae. The record is from RefSeq and is a predicted model, not a curated record.
AAAACUGGGAGCUCUCUGAGCUCUGGUCAAGUGUAGUAUCUGUUCUUAUCAGUUUAGUAUCUGAUAUGUCCUUUAUUUGAGGACUGUAUAUUAAAUUGAUUUUUGGAACAGGGGGAUGGAAUAGGAGCUUGCUUGACCCGGUAUUGCAGUGUCUCCAGGAACGGUGCAUCUCCU